RNAcentral lists this ribosomal RNA (259 nucleotides) under uncultured soil bacterium. Its description in RNAcentral is "partial 16S ribosomal RNA". It matches the Rfam family "Bacterial small subunit ribosomal RNA", at positions 26 to 285 of the family's 1533-position model. The record is from RNAcentral.
AGGACGAACGCUGGCGGCGUGCUUAACACAUGCAAGUCGAACGAUGAUGCCCAGCUUGCUGGGCGGAUUAGUGGCGAACGGGUGAGUAACACGUGAGUAACCUGCCCUUCACUCUGGGAUAACUCCGGGAAACCGGUGCUAAUACUGGAUAUGACCUUGGCCCGCAUGGGCAUGAGGUGGAAAGUUUUUCGGUGGAGGAUGGACUCGCGGCCUAUCAGCUUGUUGGUGAGGUAAUGGCUCACCAAGGCGAUGACGGGUA